This is a non-coding RNA of Chrysemys picta bellii (western painted turtle), 1573 nucleotides long. Lineage: Eukaryota; Metazoa; Chordata; Testudines; Emydidae. The record is from RefSeq and is a predicted model, not a curated record.
GGAGGGUCCUGGCAGGGUGUCCAGGCUGAGCUGGGGUGCCUGGGUAGCAAGCGGGUUCCCCGUGGGACAUAGGCCCAGCUACCCACACGGAGCCCGGACAACACUCUGGCCCGCGGGGCGCCAGGGAGGCCGCUCCAAGUUUCUGGCUGGGCGGGGCUGACAGCUCCUCGGGGCAGGGACCUUUCAGAUCUAGGUGUGAGGGACCCCGUGAUGGGGUUUUACCGCUCAGGGAUUGAAAUCAAGUGGUUCGAGAACAGGCAGGAGCAGACGGCCGGGGUGGUGUCCACGGAGCUGCUCCACAACAGAGACUGGACCUUCCAGAUCCUGGUGAUGCUGGCGAUGACCCCCCGGCGCUGGGACGUCUACACCUGCCAGGUGGAGCACAUCAGCCUGCGGGGCCCCCUCACCGUGCACUGCCCAGGUCCAGGAAGUGCGGAGCCAAUCCCAGCCCCUGGCUUCCCAUACAUCUGAGUCAGACCGUUCAAACUCUGAGCUACAGCUGUGGCCUCCUGGCCUCCCCUCCACUUCCCCUCUCCUGGAACGUCAGGUUGUUACAGACACAGCUGAAGUGUUCGCAAAUCAGUCAGUUCCUCUCUAGUCAUGGAACAAAUACACUUCCCCUUUGAAAAAUAUGGAGACCAAACUCACUUGAGAAACGCACCAGAAACUGAUGAACUCUUGACCCUGAAUUUUGAGACUUAUUUAUGCUACCCUCUAACCUGCUUCCCUUUUUGCUAAACGUGAGAAACAACGUGCAAUAACUUGCAGGUCAAACCCUGAGUGGAUGAUGCUGAUACCAGAGAAAUUCCCCAGACUCUAUUGUGUAUCCCUGGCUUCCAUUUUAAUUAAGCAAGAGUCAGGCCCUCAUUCGAGUCUGCAGAUCCCAUAGCACUAAAAAAUCAAAUUGGCGGGAAAACCAAAGUAGGGGUAAGGUCAGCAGGUCAUAACUCUGAGGUAAACACGGCUGCAGGCUAAAAUUAGAACGGACCGUUUGGAAUGUGGGCCGUGGUCAUGCGCAAGAAAGUCCUGACAGGUCGGUAUAAAAGUCAGUGUGUCAGCAGACAGCCAAGGGGUAGGUGGAGAGCACGUGGACAGUGAGGAGAAGGAGAGAAAAGCAGAGAGAAGCUUCCCUGAGCGGUCCAUGCGUCCGACAGCCGAAUGGAGAGCUGACGGAGCAGCAGGAGAGUGUCCUGGUCCCGUCCAGCAGCAGAGGGAGAAGACGCAGAAACCCAAGGAGAACACUGCAGGGGCGAGAGCGAACGCAGGAGAAACAAGCAGCAAGGGAGUCAAUUGGCCGUAGCUCCCUCCAAGUCAAUGGGGCCAGAUCCCUGCUGGGAUCAGUCGGCCGUAGCGCUUCUGACUUCCAUGGAACGGAUUUCCAGAAACUCAGUACCUGGCCCAACUGAGCUCAGUGGAGGUGCGGCCGCUUGACACCGGCUGGGAUCUGGCCCGGAGGUUUUCCCUUAGCUUAUUUAAAAACAGUUCUAUCCAGUCAAACAUUUCUGGAGCACAAGAGCUUGUGAUAAAAUCUUAUUUUAAUAUGUUUUAAAUAAAGCAUUUUUAAUGAAAACUC